GCGUCUCUAGCUCAAUGGCAGAUCCACAGGCACCCAACCCGAUGACGGCGGUUCGAUUCCGCCGGGACGCUCCA
This 74-nucleotide transfer RNA is filed under the name Brevundimonas sp. RNAcentral's name for it is "tRNA-Gly". It matches the Rfam family "tRNA". Rfam says of the family: Transfer RNA (tRNA) molecules are approximately 80 nucleotides in length. Their secondary structure includes four short double-helical elements and three loops (D, anti-codon, and T loops). Lineage: Bacteria; Pseudomonadati; Pseudomonadota; Alphaproteobacteria; Caulobacterales; Caulobacteraceae. The record is from RNAcentral.